This is a long non-coding RNA of Homo sapiens (human), 1094 nucleotides long. Lineage: Eukaryota; Metazoa; Chordata; Mammalia; Primates; Hominidae. The record is from Ensembl.
AGUCCCCUGCUGCUCCUCUGCUGGGCGCCACAACUUUCCCCAACCCGUGCCAACUUCCAGGGCACAGCCUCUGCGGAGAGUAGCAGGGUACAGUGAAUAACCCAGACACUAAAAAGCAAGGCAGCGGGGGUCCUACCAGCGCGGCUUUUGAUGACGUCGGUGAAUCCGUCCUCAGCGGCAUUUUCUGGGGUCUCCUGCAGACCCCUCAGCUGUGCCAUAACCAAACGCCACGUGCCUCAGCUUCCUCACGCCCCAAACUUUGGAAGGCAGGUCACAUGGAAUCUACACAUGGAAGGACAUAGGCAUUGCAUGCAGGUAUCCGGAAUCAUUGAUAUUGGUCUUAAAAUUUGGAAGUUUCCACUUUUGCUAAGACUGCCAUUUAUAAUGAGCCCUACGGAGAGGCCAUGUGGCAAGAAGCUGAGGCUGCCAGAGGGAACCUGAGGCCUGCCAGCAACCACAUACAUGAGUUUGGAAGUUAAUUCUUCAGCUUCCUUUGAGUCUUGAGGUAGCUACAGCCUGGCCAGAACUUGACUAAACUUCAUAAGGGACACUGAGCCAGAAACACCUAACUAAGCAAAUUCUGGUUUUAUGACCUUCAGAAAUUGUGUGAAAUAAUAAAUAUUUGUUGUUUUCAUUAUUCACCAUAGCAAAGUCAUGGAAUCAACCUAGGUGCCCAUCAACAGUGGAUUGGAUAAAAAAGGUGCACAUAUAACGCAUGGAAUACUAUGCAACCAUAAAAAAGAAUGAAACCACAUCCUUUGCAGCAACAUAGUUACAGCUAUAGAGCAUAAUCCUAAGCAAAUUAACACAGGAACAGAAAAGCAAAUAUUGCCUGUUCUCACUUAUAAGUGGGAGCUAAACAUUGGGUAUACAUGGACAUAAAGAUGGAAACAAUAGAUGAUGAGGACUCCGAAAUGGGGAAAGAACUGGAGUAACGGUUGAAAACCUACCUGUUGGGUACUAUGUUCACUAUUUGGGUAACAGAUUCAGUAGAAGCCCAAACCCUAGCAUUAUGCAAUGCACCCAUGUAACAAACCUGCACAUGUACCCACUGAAUCUAAAAUAAACUGUAUUUGUUGUUGUAAGAUGCUAAA